ACGCUGGAACUGAGACACGGUCCAGACUCCUACGGGAGGCAGCAGUGGGGAAUAUUGGACAAUGGGCGAAAGCCUGAUCCAGCCAUGCCGCGUGUGUGAAGAAGGUCUUCGGAUUGUAAAGCACUGUUAAGUUGGGAGGAAGAGGUACUUGCCUAAUAGCGUGAGUAUUGUGACGUUACCGACAGAAUAAGCACCGGCU
This 199-nucleotide ribosomal RNA is filed under the name uncultured bacterium. RNAcentral's name for it is "partial 16S ribosomal RNA". It matches the Rfam family "Bacterial small subunit ribosomal RNA", at positions 310 to 498 of the family's 1533-position model. The record is from RNAcentral.